RNAcentral lists this long non-coding RNA (1603 nucleotides) under Homo sapiens (human). RNAcentral's name for it is "HSALNT0384851". Lineage: Eukaryota; Metazoa; Chordata; Mammalia; Primates; Hominidae. The record is from RNAcentral.
CCACUGUACUCCAGCCUGGACAACAGAGCUAGACCCUGUCUCAAACAAUAAUAACUAAAAAGGAUGGAACAAAAUGCAUGUAAUGUUCUUGUCAUAGAGAUAGCAUUUGAUUAAUGUUUGCUAUUAUUAUUCUUAUUGACAAAUGUCUGAAUUCCAGGAGGAUUCUAGAAAUUAUGAAGCAGACAGCAUCAUUGGAAGAAAAAAAAUGUGCUGCUGCCCAUAGCAACUACUAUGAGACCAUCACACUACUGACUGUAGAGGAGUGAUUGUGAAGAAGGCAGCCACUCUCACCAGCUGGGGCUGAUGUGCUGGUAUCUUGGCCAAUGAGAUGGGACCAGCACUCUUGUCUGAUGUCUCAUUGGUAGCCUUCAUUAGAGGAGCUUCCUGGGCUGGAUGAGAAAAAUGAAGCCCAGAGAUGUAAAGACACUUGUUCAAGAGUACACAGCUUCUAGGAGGAAGCACUGGAUUAGAACUGGGUUUCCUGACUCCCUAUCCUUUGCAGCCCACAACUUUGGAGAGCAUAGGUCUCAAAGACCAAGACAGGAACCAGAAGGGGUGGACGGAGUCAUGCUCCAUGGUCUUAAUUGGCUAGCCCACCCUUGCCCUUCCCUCCUUGUCUCUUCUACCAGCUUGUGAGCUCCAGGCGGGCAGGGAUAGUCCUUGUUCAUUUCUCGAUCCCCAAUGUCCAGGAUUAGCACUCACUAAGUGUUGUUGCUGAAAAACUGCAUCAUACAUGGAUGAAAGGAUCACCCAGGGAUGACCUUGACAUCACAAAUAAGGAAGGAACAGGACAGCCUGUGAGGUCACUGCGGUGACCUCCUUCGCAGAGGACCUCUGGUACUGCUCCAGCCACCAGUAAGCCCACUGCCUCUGGGCACUGCUCAAUGCUGCCCUUACCUGGACCCAGACCAUCAAGCUUGUCACAGGCUCCCCCCAGGCAUCCCAGACAUGACAUCCAAGACAGUUUCCUGUUACUCUCCAUCCUGCUGGAGAGUUCCAAUGACCUAUGGCAUGAAUACUCCAGACAAAGUGUUCCAGCCUUCCCCAGAAACCUCAAAAGUCUCUCAGGCACUCCAAGACUUCCAAGGCCAAAAAACUCAAGAUGUCUUUAAACAAGACCAAAGACCCCCUCAGGAAUCUGGCCAAGAAGCCCCCCAAGAAGGCUAGGCCCAGCACUUUUGAGCCUAGAUCUUUCUACUGCCUUGACCUCUGCCCCCUCCCACCAGAGCAGCUACAGGCCCCAGAGCCCCAGUUACCCUUAUCAAUCUCAGAGGCCACAGAUGUCUAUCUCCCUGAGGAUUUCCCAGCUGAGCCCAAGCUCAUGGACCAGUCCUGGGUGUCCAGGAAGAGCCUGAAACCAUCCAAGAGUCAUCUUAUGGAGCCACCCACUCCAGUGGCCAAGCACCAAAAGGCAAAGACCCGACAUAGGAGUGAGAAGAAACAAAACAAAUAAAUGCUUGGCAUCUCCAUCGACCUGGUCCUUUUCAGCCCAGACCUAUCAGCUCCAGACAUCCCAAAACAUCACCCUAUUCCAGAGGCCACAGAAUUCAUGAUUCCAGAUAAUUCGUGUUAGUCUUUGCUAUUCAAUAAACUCCUGGCUGCA